Molecule: long non-coding RNA, 210 nt
Filed under: Lathyrus oleraceus (garden pea)
Lineage: Eukaryota; Viridiplantae; Streptophyta; Magnoliopsida; Fabales; Fabaceae
Description: Pisum sativum (pea) long non-coding RNA (PSAT_LNC024505)
Source: RNAcentral
GAAGGUUUUGAAAGAGGGGAGAGAUUUGAAAUUUAAGAAGUUGGAGGAGAUGAAGAGACUAAUCCUAAGCAAGACUUUAAAAGUUAAGAGUUGAAAAGAUCUGACGAAUGGGAUGCAAUCCAAUAGACAAGAAUGUCAUAUAGAAACCCAUUUUUCCUUUGGACUUUAAAAUCAAGCAAUAUCAAUAAGCAGGCAAGAUGAAGAGCAAGG